AGUACUUUUUUUUUCUUUAUUGAGAGCCUUUUUUUGGUUUUGACUGAUUAUUUAAAACCCCUUUCUUGUCCCUUUUCUAAGAACCUCCCUGGAGGGUUUGUAGAUUUCAUAAAGGUUUACCAUCCCCUUCCCCAAGUGUCUUAAAUCCUCAUUGAUGACAUAUAUUCCUACAUUAGGGUAGAAACUAUGACAUUUUCUUUUAAUUACUGGAUUGUCAGUGUCUUACUAUAUUUCUAUUAGUAAAAGCUCCACAAAUAAGUACUUGAUGAGUAAAUGAAUGAAUGUUUGUGCUUCCAACAUCUCAACUAUGUAGGUGGUCUCCAUAGCUGGGUAGAAACACUUAUGUAUAUAUAGGCAUUUGCUGACUAAUUUUAUUUGCGUUCUUUUAAUAAGACAUUUUUAAAGUAUGUGGAGGGAGACAUUGUGUAAAACACUGUUAGAAGAUUGAAAGUCCUUUUCCAAAACUACCAAUCGAAAAUAAACAUCACUGCUAUUCUCAUCUCUCCCAUUCAAAUCCAUCCUUCCUCAAAUUAAGAUGUUUUAAGUGUCUAGUCAUUUGUACCACUGUUCAGAAAGAGAAGAGGUACAUUAAAAUCAUUUAUGUACUUUUUUCAGAAUUUUAACUUGCUGCUUCUUUAAGUUGAGCUCUAGGUGAAUGUGACCUCUUUUUCUUUUCUCUUUAUUGACUGGCUCCAGGUCCUUGUUACAUUGUAUUCCCUCUCGUGUUUACCAUAUCUGUGACCUUUUCAUAUUCUCACAACUGUUUGUCUGAUAGCAUCCACCUUGGACGUUUCUGUCCUCCAGAGACAUCUUCCACUAUGUUCCCAUUAUUUAUCAGCCACUCAGGCUCAGAAAGUCACUGGAAAAGACGUUGCUCUGAAAAGUCUUUUAUUUGAAAGAAGUAUCCAGAUGACGGAUUAGGUCUGUAAAUGUUAAAUUUUCAAUAUUGCCUAUUUAGAGGACAUAUGUGUAUGUAUGGCUUUCCUUAUUUUAAAAACACUACACCAUGAAAAUAUAUUAUACACUUCACUUUGAUGGUAUGUAAACACUUAUUCUAGAAAUAAAAUGAAUAAUGAAUAGUCUUCAUGUCUGAAUUUCAUUAAAAAGGAACUGGAAGCAUACCAUUGUUUCAUAUUGAUGAUUUUACAAUGGGUAUGUUUAAAUGCAAGUAUUCUGCUGUUUAUUCAUUCUUUUACUGUCAGAACAAACAAUGUUACUUGUGGGAGUGAGCAACAGACUGAUAGUUUGGAAAGAACCCAAUAGACUUGAUAUAUAAUAAAACAAUUGAAAAUAUCUUUUGAACUGAUGAGACAUUUCCAGUUUAUUUUCUGUCCUAUACGUACAGUUUUGUCAAAUGCCACCAAACGUUAACAAAAUAGCAAGAGUCCAUAUUGUAUUCUGAGAGUGAAUCAUAGGCUAAGGGGAUCUUUGUCUGAUAAUUUCUGUAGUGUAAUGUUGAUCUCAUAGGUCCAAAGAAUAUCCUGACUGGACCCUAGGACCUAUGAUGCAUGAAUAUAUACUUAUAUAUUUAAUAUAUUGUUCUUAAUACUAUAUUAAUUUCUUCUAAGCACAUUGUUAAAUCAGUCAACUCUGGCUGCACAUUAGAGUAAUUUAAGAAGCUUUUUAAAACACUGAAGUUUCAAGCUGAUCCCAGAGUAGCUGAGCUGUCUGGAUUGACCGAGGCAUGAGGAUUUUUAACAUUCUCCAAAAUGAUUCUAAUGUGAAGCCAGAGUUGAAAACCGCUGCACAAGUGGAAUAAAUAUAUUUCUAGAGCUGUCCAUUUCUACUUCAGUAUUAAGAUUUUUUGUGUAGUCCUUUUCUUGAACAUACGAUUUUCUUAAAAACUGAAAAAAUAACAUAAUUAUUUAUAUAUGUAAUUUAGGGUAGGGUAAAAUCUAAUUCGCAGUAGGAAACAUCCCCACACAGAAAGAAAAUUCCCUUCAACCAGUCUUUGACCAAAGGAACAACUACUGUUGCUCCAUCUUUAAAUUUCAGUGUCAUGAUCAUUUAUAAAACCUAUAAAUACUCCUGACCUGUUGUGAUUUCCUAUUAGAGAAAAAAAUAUAUAUAUUUCUCAAUUUUAAGCCAUAUAUCUAUUAUAUUUAUUAUCCAGAAAGGAAAUAGUUAAGAUUUCUCAUUUUACCAAAGAGAAAAGUAGACAUCAAAUGCCAUAUGAUGGAAAUUUAAUUUAUUAUAGCAGUACUGAGCUGUUCCUAAGAAUAAAUAGCUCCUGCUAUUUGGGAUCUAUGCAGUUGAGGCUCAUCCUUGAAUUUCAUUGUGGAAGGAUUUUCAGAUGCCAAGAUAAGAAGCAACAGUGUAGAUGAUGACUGUAUUCAAAAGGACACUGGGCUGUUUUGCAGGAAAAUCAUAUUAAAGAUUUGUAUCUUGUUUUAUGUCACUUGUUACCCAUAUAUCAUAUCAAAAUUUCCUUUUUCUUGCCUUUAAUCCAUAGAUUAUAACUCUAAUACAUUGUAUGUAUUGUAUUUCAAGUUGAAGUCCACUCACAUUCAUAAAUAUGUAACAUUUAUGUCCUGAUUAUAUUUUUAACAGAUAUUAAUUCUGUUAAUAUUUAAUGAAAAUGCUAGUCUCAUAAAAAAAUCUAGUAUGUUAUUGGAAUAAUAGCAUAUUAUUAGAAAAAUAGUAUGUUAUUAGAGUAGUGUAAGAUUUAUAAUCUUAUAAUCUUUAAGAUUUAUAAAUAUCUCAAAAUAGUUUACAUAAGAUACAUAAUGUCAGUCCAGUGCUGGUGAAGGUCUCUUGUUAAAUUCUUAUUGAAUAUUUAUUAAGUUAAUAAUCAAAGCUACUUAUUAAGGAAUAAUAAAUAUUUUUGAGAAAUUAGGAGUUCCCAUUGUGGUGCAGUGGUUAACGAAUCCGACUGGGAACCAUGAGGUUGCAGGUUCUAUCCCUGGCCUUGCUCAGUGGGUUAAGGAUCCGGCGUUGCAGUGAGCUGUGGUGUAGGUUGCAGACGCGGCUCUGAUCCCACGUUGCUGUGGCUCUGGCAUAGGCUGGCGGCUACAGCUCCGAUUAGACCCCUAGCCUGGGAAACUCCAUAUGCCACGGGAGCGGCCCAAGAAAUGGCAAAGAGACCAAAAAA
RNAcentral lists this long non-coding RNA (3091 nucleotides) under Sus scrofa (pig). RNAcentral describes it as "lncRNA (ENSSSCG00015048685.1)". The record is from RNAcentral. Lineage: Eukaryota; Metazoa; Chordata; Mammalia; Artiodactyla; Suidae.